This 474-nucleotide ribosomal RNA is filed under the name uncultured bacterium. Its description in RNAcentral is "bacterial SSU rRNA". It matches the Rfam family "Bacterial small subunit ribosomal RNA", at positions 17 to 518 of the family's 1533-position model. The record is from RNAcentral.
UCCUGGCUUAGGAUGAACGCUGGCGGCGUGCCUAACACAUGCAAGUCGAGCGAUUACUUCGGUAAAGAGCGGCGGACGGGUGAGUAACGCGUGGGUAACCUGCCUCAUACACAUGGAUAACAUACCGAAAGGUAUGCUAAUACAGGAUAAUAUAAGAGAUUCACAUGGAUUUCUUAUCAAAGCUCCGGCGGUAUGAGAUGGACCCGCGUCUGAUUAGCUAGUUGGUAAGGUAAUGGCUUACCAAGGCGACGAUCAGUAGCCGACCUGAGAGGGUGAUCGGCCACAUUGGAACUGAGACACGGUCCAAACUCCUACGGGAGGCAGCAGUGGGGAAUAUUGCACAAUGGGCGAAAGCCUGAUGCAAGCAACGCCGCGUGAGUGAUGAAGGCCUUCGGGUCGUAAAACUCUGUCCUCAAGGAAGAUAAUGACGGUACUUGAGGAGGAAGCCCCGGCUAACUACGUGCCAGCAGCAGC